UCGGUUUUGGAGUUUCUGUGGACCGACGAUAUUUUGUUCGUCACCAAUUUGUCGUUUCGAAAACCAUCCACGAAUUGCUGCACCGAUUCCACCGUUAUCUCAGCACCGUCCUCCAUCACCGCGUAUAUUCCUCGAGAAACAAAUCGGUUGCACCUGAGAUAAUCAACUCGGCUGCUCGUCAUGAUUUUCGAACAUUUCUGGGACUCACGUCUAGGGCGAUGUAAAACUGAAGAGUUCCAUCAGGAUCGUCGUAAUUGGGAUCGUAAUCGGGUCUCUCUCGUCUGUAAGACUCAGCGGCCGGCAACAAAACGCUUUCUCCGAAAUGGACCUCGCUAUCGUCGCCCUCUGAAAAUGAAUAAAUCGUCAAACGUA
Molecule: long non-coding RNA, 372 nt
Organism: Venturia canescens
Lineage: Eukaryota; Metazoa; Arthropoda; Insecta; Hymenoptera; Ichneumonidae
Exons: 3
Source: RefSeq, a predicted model, not a curated record